Molecule: ribosomal RNA, 434 nt
Filed under: uncultured soil bacterium
Lineage: Bacteria
Description: bacterial SSU rRNA
Rfam family: Bacterial small subunit ribosomal RNA
Source: RNAcentral
GAAUUCGAUUAACGCGAAGAACCUUACCUGGGCUUGACAUGCACUCGCAACGCCUUGAAAGAGACGCCUCCUUCGGGACGGGUGCACAGAUGCUGCAUGGCUGUCGUCAGCUCGUGUCGUGAGAUGUUGGGUUAAGUCCCGCAACGAGCGCAACCCUCGUCUUUAGUUGAAAAUCUAAAGAGACUGCCGGAAACAAACCGGAGGAAGGUGGGGAUGAUGUCAAGUCAGCAUGGCUCUUACGUCCAGGGCUACACACACGCUACAAUGGUCGCUACAGCGAGAAGCCACCCCGCGAGGGAGAGCAGAUCUCUAAAAGGCGGCCUCAGUUCAGAUUGCACUCUGCAACCCGAGUGCAUGAAGUCGGAGUUGCUAGUAACCGCGUGUCAGCAUAGCGCGGUGAAUACGUUCCCGGGCCUUGUCACACCGAAUCACUA